Molecule: ribosomal RNA, 253 nt
Filed under: uncultured bacterium
Lineage: Bacteria
Description: partial 16S ribosomal RNA
Rfam family: Bacterial small subunit ribosomal RNA
Source: RNAcentral
CACGGGGGGAGCAAGCGUUGUUCGGAAUCACUGGGCGUAAAGGGCGUGCAGGCGGUCAGGUAAGUGGGAUGUGAAAUGCCCCGGCUCACCCGGGGACCGGCAUCUCAUACUGCUUGGCUUGAGUACGGGAGAGGAUGUGGGAAUUCCUGGUGUAGCGGUGACAUGCGUAGAUAUCAGGAGGAACACCGGUGGCGAAGGCGCACAUCUGGCCCGAUACUGACGCUGAGGCGCGAAAGCUAGGGGAGCAAACGGG